Molecule: ribosomal RNA, 301 nt
Filed under: uncultured bacterium
Lineage: Bacteria
Description: partial 16S ribosomal RNA
Rfam family: Bacterial small subunit ribosomal RNA
Source: RNAcentral
CAGUAGCCGCGGUAAUACGUAGGGUGCGAGCGUUAAUCGGAAUUACUGGGCGUAAAGCGUGCGCAGGCGGUUCGUUAAGACAGAUGUGAAAUCCCCGGGCUUAACCUGGGAACUGCAUUUGUGACUGACGGGCUAGAGUAUGGCAGAGGGGGGUAGAAUUCCACGUGUAGCAGUGAAAUGCGUAGAGAUGUGGAGGAAUACCGAUGGCGAAGGCAGCCCCCUGGGCCAAUACUGACGCUCAUGCACGAAAGCGUGGGGAGCAAACAGGAUUAGAUACCCCUGUAGUCCCUGUCUCUUAUAA